UGGGGAAUAUUGGACAAUGGGCGCAAGCCUGAUCCAGCCAUGCCGCGUGAGUGAUGAAGGCCUUAGGGUUGUAAAGCUCUUUCGCCGGUGAAGAUAAUGACGGUAACCGGAGAAGAAGCCCCGGCUAACUUCGUGCCAGCAGCCGCGGUAAUACGAAGGGGGCUAGCGUUGCUCGGAAUCACUGGGCGUAAAGCGCACGUAGGCGGAUCGUUAAAGUCAGGGGGUGAAAUCCUGGAGCUCAACUCCAGAACUGCCCUUGAUACUGGCGAUCUCGAGUUCGAGAGAGGUUGGUGGAACUCCGAGUGUAGAGGUGAAAUUCGUAGAUAUUCGGAAGAACACCAGUGGCGAAGGCGGCCAACUGGCUCGAUACUGACGCUGAGGUGUGAAAGCGUGGGGAGCAAACAGGAUUAGAUACCCUGGUAGUCCACGCCGUAAAACGAUGGAUGCUAGCCGUUGGGGGGUUUACCUCUCAGUGGCGCAGCUAACGCCUUAAGCAUCCCGCCUGGGGAGUACGGUCGCAAGAUUAAAAACUUAAAUGAAUUGACGGGGUCAUAGCUGUUUCCU
This 564-nucleotide ribosomal RNA is filed under the name uncultured bacterium. Its description in RNAcentral is "partial 16S ribosomal RNA". It matches the Rfam family "Bacterial small subunit ribosomal RNA", at positions 355 to 1375 of the family's 1533-position model. The record is from RNAcentral.